ACAAUUCGUAGGUGCUCCGAUUGGACUGAGAUUGGGGUGGUCACGGAUUUGCGUCCCUCUGUCGUGGCUCACAACACCGGUCAGACAUCAGAUUGAGCGUGGAGAAGCGGCGACUGCCGAUGUCUGGCGACUGCCAUUGUUAUCGGUAAACAGAUCGUGGCGGUUGGCGCGCUCGGUGCGCGGAGCGUCGUGCAGCACCGAGAGUAUCGAUAUUUCGGGAAUCGCAACCAUUACCCGUAGCCGUGAUUUCUUACGUAGCGGAGAUUGUAGCGCCGCAGUGCGUACGUGGGAAGUAGCUCGUAUCGGCCGCUCGCGCCAAAAGUGAGUUUGGCGCGCAAACUCUGCUAACUGCUGACGCGGGGAAUGCCGAGAGCAGCAACGACAACUUGAUCGAAGCCUUACUAUUAACAUCUAUUACUAUUAAUACUAUUAACAAGAAAUAACGAAUACUUAUUCAGUUAUUGAUGUAGAUGUAUCUCCUGGAAAUUGUUGCAAUACAAUAUACUUCCUGGAUUCUUUGUGUCUGAGGUAAUAAGGUUUUUCUUCUCUCAGUGUAGAUGAGUCCUCUGGAAAUUGUUGGAAUACGUUGCGCUUCCUGGAUGUACGAUGUCUGAGGUAUAAGAUUAAAUGCUGAUGAGAAUGAAUGCGGAACGACACAGUCGGCAUGCAGGUGCGGAUUUCAUUGUUGAGAACUGGAAACUGAUUUUUGAUCUUUGGACAUCGCUUUAAAAUAAUCUAUUACAGUCGCGGCCGGACGGUGGGUGCGACUUCCGCACACAGAAAAAUACGUACUGUAUUCGAAUACGUUACUUGUUUCAAGUAUCUCAUAAUUUUAUGUAUUCGCAAAUCUAUCAUGCUCAUCAUAAGCAUCAAAUUUAUUUAAAUACAUCCUGAAUCCCCUGUAAGUUCAGCAUUUCAAUCAAGAGUAUCGAAUUGAAACAAAAAUUCAGUUUUACUCACUGCAUAGAAACGAGCCAAUUUCUUCUAAAGUUUCAUGAUGUUUUUGCUGAAGAUGAUUUGAAAGAAGGAAAAUAAAUUGAGUAAUCGUUUUCUUUGACAGUAGAAUGAUAUUUUUCUUUGUGCGGGGGUGUGCAGUUUCGGAUGCUGUACCGGAGGAUCCGGUUCGGGCCGAGGGACAGAAGACCUGUAGCAGAACACGGUCGACUUUGAGUUUUUGAUAUUUCGGUAGAUUUCCAAGAAAAAGGUAUGAAAAAUUAAAGAUAAUGGAUUUUUUGGUAGUGGGUCUGUAGAAUCUUAGGAAUUGAUGCGUUUUACUUAGUUUAUAGAAUUUUGUAUGUUUGUGUUUGUCCCAUUGAGAUACAUUGCUCGAGAUAAUCGGAGGAUCGUUUCUUUAAAUACUCAUAUUACGUAGCAGAUAUAGCUGAAAAUACGUGUACGUGUCUAUAUAGAUACAUUUAUACGUAAUUUUUAGUGUAAACACGCGUUUAUAUAGGCAGAAACUUUUUAAUGUUCUUAUUAUACUUGACUAAAUAUUUAGAAUUAUUCGAUGUAGUUGUUUAUUCGGUGCUAUUCCCCUGAUUGUCACGAGAAAUACAAGAUGCGCAUUAAAAUCGCGAAGCUGAAUCGAUGCCCAGAUUUUCGCGCACGCGAUAUCGUGAAUGUUCAUUUCGUUCGUGUUUAUAAAUCGCGUAAUUGUCAACUUUUCCAAUAUCAGUUUUCGUAAGCGAUGGAGGCAGCAUCGUUUCAACGAAAAUUAUUGCUGCCUUCGACUUGUCCACAUGUUUAUUUUAAAUAUUGUACCAUGUAGUCUUCACGAAACGAUAACCAUGUUUUCCCACAAAGCAUAGUCGUUUGCGAUGAGAUAUUCUCUUCUUUGCGUGACCUUGUCGGAAGCAUCGUGAUCCACGGUUUAUGGUCUUUUACAUGUGAUUCGUGACUCAUGAACGUAUUUUUGAAGCGUCGGGAUUUGUACUAGUCAAUAUAUUCUCUCCGUUCACAAUUAUCAAACGCCGUCAUCAUCGUGAAAGUACAGUAUAAUUAGCGAAGUGUAAUCAACAUGCGGCAAAGACAAUAACAUCACUUAUAAUGUUCCAAUGUCCGUUUAUUUGCUUCAAAAAUUGACAUCCUCGCAUAAGAACGACCAUAUUUUCUGAUAUAAUGAUCCGUAAUACGUUUUUUCCCGACUUUGUUAAGAGCAUCGUAAUCUUCAGUUCGUAAUUUAUUUAUACGCGACUCGCGACUCGGGAACGUAUUUUCGAAACGCCGGAAUGUGUAUCACGGACUUUUCAUUCGCUUGUUAAACGCUGUCAAAAAUAUCGCGGUCGCGAGUGAAGUGUAAUUAGCGAAGUAUGCUCAACGGGGAACGACGCCUGAUCGUCGCAGAGGCUGGACGUUGGACAUGGGGCAAUGCAGUUGAGAUACAGCGAUGGAGUUUCAUUGGUGGAUCUGGAAUAUCAACGCGUAAUGGUGAGUGUUUCACAUGAACACUCGCAAAGAGUCUUAUUAUGUAGUGCACGUUUAGACGUAAAACGCGUUGAGUUUCACUGAGAAGUAGUAAGCGCAAUUAUACACUGUUUAAGUUUAAGGAUGCGAACAUUCGAAUAAUUUAAUGUCUGAAUUGAAAGUGAGAUAUUUCAAUGGCGUAUUUUGAAGCUCACUUAUUAAAGUGAGCUUCAAAAUACGUCACUCAGACUCAAGCUAGAAUUCGAUGAUUUGCG
This is a long non-coding RNA of Odontomachus brunneus, 2678 nucleotides long. RefSeq lists it as uncharacterized. The record is from RefSeq and is a predicted model, not a curated record. Lineage: Eukaryota; Metazoa; Arthropoda; Insecta; Hymenoptera; Formicidae. The transcript is spliced from 8 exons.